Molecule: long non-coding RNA, 733 nt
Organism: Patiria miniata (bat star)
Lineage: Eukaryota; Metazoa; Echinodermata; Asteroidea; Valvatida; Asterinidae
Exons: 3
Source: RefSeq, a predicted model, not a curated record
ACCAGAAGGCCAAAUUAUUUAUUUAAAAUAAACUAAGCUUUUUUUUUCAACGGUUGAAUCCAUUACAGUGGUCAGGUAAGGGCCACUUAUUGGAUUUUCUUCACCGUCUGUAUGUUAGAUAGGCUAUUUUUCAUUCAGUUAGGCCUAGAUAUCUAGCGCGCGAAUAUACAAGUUCCUUUUUUCUAUGAUUGUAUCUUUAUAGUGGUCAGGUAAGGACCAUUAAUAUACUUUGUCCUUCUCUUUAUUCCACAACACCGGUCACAAAUUGAAUCAGGAAACCACUGUAUAUUGUAGUAACAAACCUAGCUCCGCUAGGAAGACUUCUUUUCUUUUCAGCAACUUGCAAUAGAUUAGGAGGACCGGCAAGCCAGAGUGCUCAUGUCAGGAGCUGAUGACGCGGAGGAACCGGAGGCAGGGAGGAGGAACACUGGGUGGCUGGAUGACCCUGCUUAUCGGGCGACCCAUUCCUGCUUUCCCAGAUGACGGUCUGCAAGAUGAGAUGUCAUUCUGGACGAAUCAUUUUUGAAUCCCAAGGAACCGGAAGCAGGGAGGAGGACCAACGGAAGGACUGAUGACCUGCUUGCAGAGCAAGUCUUCACCAAUUCUUGAGAUUUCUCUUGCUUCAUGUGAGCAGCAGAGACGAUGAAGUGUGAUUUUCUAAGUAAAUAUAGCCCAUUGCGCUCAUAACGUGAAUAGAAUCUCCCUCAGGAACUCCAUCACACUUACCACAGCA